This 69-nucleotide transfer RNA is filed under the name Derichthys serpentinus (narrownecked oceanic eel). RNAcentral's name for it is "tRNA-His". It matches the Rfam family "tRNA". Rfam says of the family: Transfer RNA (tRNA) molecules are approximately 80 nucleotides in length. Their secondary structure includes four short double-helical elements and three loops (D, anti-codon, and T loops). The record is from RNAcentral. Lineage: Eukaryota; Metazoa; Chordata; Actinopteri; Anguilliformes; Derichthyidae.
GUGAGCAUAGUUUAAUAAAACCGUUAGAUUGUGAUUCUAAAAACGGGGGUUAGAAACCCCUUGCCCACC